Molecule: ribosomal RNA, 863 nt
Filed under: uncultured Helotiales
Lineage: Eukaryota; Fungi; Ascomycota; Leotiomycetes; Helotiales
Description: eukaryotic LSU rRNA
Rfam family: 5.8S ribosomal RNA (bases 505-658)
Source: RNAcentral
CUUGCAACCUUUAGGGGAGGCAGCACGACAGUAAACAAAGCUUGCCGUUUGCAAGUCGGCCAAUCGGUCGGCAACACAAUCGAAUUGACGGGGACCUCCUAAAGCCUGUAACACCAACCGUCCGGGGAAACUCGGGCGGGGCCCUCACGGGGUGGUAAGAGAGUACAGGAUGUAACAAUGGACAAUCCGCAGCGAAGACCCUACCGGCUCCGGCCCACGGGUACCGUUCACAGACUAAGUGAUUGUGGGCGGGCGAUCGUGCCCUGUCUAAGAUAUAGUCGGACUCUACCCGAAAGGAUAGAGGAUAGCAUGUCCGUAGGUGAACCUGCGGAAGGAUCAUUAAAGAAUGCCCCGUUUUUUGAAAUGGGUUCUAUUCCCAAACCGUGUAUACAUACCUUUGUUGCUUUGGCAGGCCGCCUUCGGGCGUCGGCUCACGCUGACCGCGCCUGCCAGAGGACCCAAACUCGAUUGUUUAGUGAUGUCUGAGUACUAUAUAAUAGUUAAAACUUUCAACAACGGAUCUCUUGGUUCUGGCAUCGAUGAAGAACGCAGCGAAAUGCGAUAAGUAAUGUGAAUUGCAGAAUUCAGUGAAUCAUCGAAUCUUUGAACGCACAUUGCGCCCCUUGGUAUUCCGAGGGGCAUGCCUGUUCGAGCGUCAUUAUGACCACUCAAGCCUAGCUUGGUAUUGGGGUUCGCGGUCUCGCGGCCCUUAAAAUCAGUGGCGGUGCCAUCUGGCUCUAAGCGUAGUAAUUCAUCUCGCUAUUGGGUCCGGUGGUUGCUUGCCAACAACCCCCAACUUCUAAGGUUGACCUCGGAUCAGGUAGGGAUACCCGCUGAACUUAAGCAUAUCAAUAAGCGGAGGA